GCCCCCUUCGUCUAGCGGCCCAGGACCCCGCCCUUUCACGGCGGUAGCGCCGGUUCGAAUCCGGUAGGGGGUGCGA
This 76-nucleotide transfer RNA is filed under the name Nocardioides terrae. Its description in RNAcentral is "tRNA_Glu_TTC". It matches the Rfam family "tRNA". Rfam says of the family: Transfer RNA (tRNA) molecules are approximately 80 nucleotides in length. Their secondary structure includes four short double-helical elements and three loops (D, anti-codon, and T loops). Further hydrogen bonds mediate the characteristic L-shaped molecular structure. tRNAs have two regions of fundamental functional importance: the anti-codon, which is responsible for specific mRNA codon recognition, and the 3' end, to which the tRNAs corresponding amino acid is attached (by aminoacyl-tRNA synthetases). tRNAs cope with the degeneracy of the genetic code in two manners: having more than one tRNA (with a specific anti-codon) for a particular amino acid; and 'wobble' base-pairing, i.e. permitting non-standard base-pairing at the 3rd anti-codon position. The record is from RNAcentral. Lineage: Bacteria; Bacillati; Actinomycetota; Actinomycetes; Propionibacteriales; Nocardioidaceae. RNAcentral also lists the same sequence under 1 other name.